GGCAGCAGCUAAGAAUAUUCCGCAAUGGUCGAAAGACUAACGGAGCGACGCCGCGUGAAUGAUGAAGGCCGUGAGGUUGUAAAGUUCUUUUCUGGAGGGAGAAUAAGUGCAUCAGGGAAUGGGUGCAUGAUGACGUGAAUCCAGGAAUAAGCCCCGGCUAACUACGUGCCAGCAGCCGCGGUAACACGUAGGGGGCAAGCGUUGUUCGGAAUUAUUGGGCGUAAAGGGCGCGCAGGCGGCCUGGCAAGUCUGCUGUUAAAUGGUUGAGCUUAACUCAAUCAUGCGGUGGAAACUACAAGGCUAGAAUCAACGAGGGGAUGCCGGAAUUCCAGGUGUAGGGGUGAAAUCUGUAGAUAUCUGGAAGAACACCAAUGGCGAAGGCAGGCAUCUGGCGACUGAUUGACGCUGAGGCGCGAAGGUGCGGGGAGCAAACAGGUUUAGAUAUCCUGGUAGUCCGCACAGUAAACGAUGUGCACCAGGUGGCGGGUAGCAGUACUCGGUACCGAAGCAAACGCAUUAAGUGCACCGCCUGGGGAGUAUGCUCGCAAGGGUGAAACUCAAAGGAAUUGACGG
RNAcentral lists this ribosomal RNA (573 nucleotides) under uncultured rumen bacterium. RNAcentral describes it as "bacterial SSU rRNA". It matches the Rfam family "Bacterial small subunit ribosomal RNA", at positions 347 to 916 of the family's 1533-position model. The record is from RNAcentral.